RNAcentral lists this ribosomal RNA (441 nucleotides) under uncultured bacterium. Its description in RNAcentral is "partial 16S ribosomal RNA". It matches the Rfam family "Bacterial small subunit ribosomal RNA", at positions 339 to 795 of the family's 1533-position model. The record is from RNAcentral.
CUACGGGGGGCUGCAGUGGGGAAUAUUGGACAAUGGACCAAAAGUCUGAUCCAGCAAUUCUGUGUGCACGAUGAAGGUUUUCGGAUCGUAAAGUGCUUUCAACAGGGAAGAAGUUCUGACGGUACCUGUAGAAGAAGCGACGGCUAAAUACGUGCCAGCAGCCGCGGUAAUACGUAUGUCGCAAGCGUUAUCCGGAUUUAUUGGGCAUAAAGGGCAUCUAGGCGGCUUAGUAAGUCUGAUGUGAAAAUGCGGGGCUCAACCCCGUAUUGCGUUGGAAACUACUUAGCUAGAGUAUUGGAGAGGUAGGCGGAACUACAUGUGUAGAGGUGAAAUUCGUAGAUAUAUGUAGGAAUGCCGAUGACGAAGGUAGCUUACUGGACAAUUACUGACGCUGAAGUGCGAAAGCUAGGGGAGCGAACAGGAUUAGAUACCCGCGUAGUC